This 455-nucleotide ribosomal RNA is filed under the name uncultured bacterium. RNAcentral's name for it is "bacterial SSU rRNA". It matches the Rfam family "Bacterial small subunit ribosomal RNA", at positions 339 to 792 of the family's 1533-position model. The record is from RNAcentral.
UUACGGGAGGCAGCAGUAGGGAAUAUUGGGCAAUGGGCGCAAGCCUGACCCAGCCAUGCCGCGUGCAGGAAGAAUGCCCUCUGGGUUGUAAACUGCUUUUGGGAGGGGACAAAAAGCUGAUGCGUCAGAAAUUGAGUGUACCUCCAGAAUAAGCACCGGCUAACUCCGUGCCAGCAGCCGCGGUAAUACGGAGGGUGCAAGCGUUGUCCGGAUUUAUUGGGUUUAAAGGGUGCGUAGGCGGCCCGAUAAGUCGGGGGUGAGACCCACAGGCUAAACCUGUGGAGUGCCCUCGAUACUGUCGGGCUUGGGUUAUCUCUAGGCGGGCGGAAUGGAAGGUGUAGCGGUGAAAUGCAUAGAUAUCUACCAGAACGCCGAUAGAGAAGGCAGCUCGCUGGGGAUAUACCGACGCUGAGGCACGAUAGCGUGGGGAUCAAACAGGAUUAGAUACCCGCGUA